Molecule: long non-coding RNA, 499 nt
Organism: Arabidopsis lyrata subsp. lyrata
Lineage: Eukaryota; Viridiplantae; Streptophyta; Magnoliopsida; Brassicales; Brassicaceae
Exons: 4
Source: RefSeq, a predicted model, not a curated record
GACUCAAAACUGAACAAAACCAUGAAACAAAAAUAUAUUUUUGAAAUAACGUACUAGUGGUGCACAAAUUACUCUUUUGAAAGCCCAACAGUCCAAACAAUUUGAUCAUCUAGAAGUCUUCUGAGAUACAAUUGAUAGCUUCAGGAAAACGCUCGCUCGCACUCGCAGAACUCAGAAUCAGCCUUAUCGAAAUCGUUCUCAGUUAAAUGGGGCCUUGGAGAAAUUUUCGCCAUGGGAGAUGUGUCUUUGAAGACAAAGACAAACGGGACUAUGAUCUUUGGAGUAGACCUUGCAUUGGUUCAGGGAACCACCAAGAAGAAGCCUACGAGAGGAAGAAAAUAGAUAAACGCAUGCUGGUUUUCUGAUACAACCGUAUACGACAUCUUUGGUUUUUUCGUCACAACCACAAAAUCGGUUUUACGUCAAAACCACAAAAUUGCGUUUUAGCACCAAAAAAUGUUAACGGAAAGAUUGUUUAAGAAUUAACAACAACAAAAAA